This 69-nucleotide transfer RNA is filed under the name Neotermes insularis. RNAcentral's name for it is "tRNA-Cys". Lineage: Eukaryota; Metazoa; Arthropoda; Insecta; Blattodea; Kalotermitidae. The record is from RNAcentral.
GGCUUUAUAUUCAUGUUUGUGAUUACAGUAUGCAAUUUUGUAGGGAUGGUAAAUUUGCCAUUAAGGCCU